GGAUGGACCCCUAACGUGUGUGGUGCCGCGGGAGGGCAGAGCGGGCACUGGGACUCUGCGGAUGAGGAGGCGGGUUGGGGCGGGCUGGUCAAUGCACACCCUUCCGGCAGACGGGUCCCCCUGCAGCCGGAAGCCAUACCUGCCCCACUGCCGGCCACCUGGGAUCCGGGGCCUCCCAGGCCCAGGGGGUACCAGCAUCGCCACUGUCCUGCUGGUGCUUGUCAGGCAGGACCCCUCCUGAGACCCUGACUGGCGGGAUUACAUCUCCCCCCCCCCCUCCACCGCCCCCCGCAUCUGCAGAGCGACUCAUUCUGUGACUAUGUCACCUUUGCUGGGGUUUCGGCUCUUUGUACCCCAGACGGUAAUUGUGUUCCUACUUCAUCAGUGGGAGAACUUACUCAGCUCGAGAGAGAGCGUGCAGGGAUUAGACUCUGCUGGGCAGUUCGGCGGCCCCAACACCCCAGCACCCAGCAGACCCCCUGGAGCCAGCCUGGCGCUGCCCUCAACACGGGGCUUCAAACGCCUCCAUGUGUCCGUGCCUCAGUCUUCCCCUCUGCACGGCCAAGAGAGCACCAAGUGUCCCCCCCGGCCGGCCGGGGUGCCGUGCUCCGGCUGUUACUGUCAGUAUUUGGGUCCGUGUCUGGCUCGGGCUCCCCUGGCAGGUCCCAGAGGGUGCUGGGGAGUGGCCGUGGUGGCCGUGGGGCCUCUCUCCCAGGUCUGAGAUACGGAAGGCCCCUUGCUCGGCCCGGCUGUCGGGGCCCCUCCGGCGGCAGUCAGCCUGGUGGUGUGGUGGGACGGGUGCCGGUGCAGGCCAGGCGCCCGGGGCUGUCAGCAGCCCCAGCUCCGACACCCGGGCCACGUCCAGCUGGAGUGUCUCAGCCUCGCUCUGCAGAUACGCGCCUGCCGAGGGGCAGCGACACCCGCGACGGGGCGCCAGACCCGGGGCCAGGCCCGGCCAGCAGACGCGCACGCGGCUGGCGGCUCUUCUGGGGCCCCGGCCUGACAUCAGUCCAUAGUUAACUCCGAACAGCCCCUAAGAGCGACACGGCCUCCUUCGGCCCCACCCUCCUGCCACCGCUCUGCCGUGGCUGUGCUCACCCCCAGGAUGCCCUUCCCUCUGCCUCUGCAGAGCCUACCCUGCCAGCCGGGCCCAGAGCGUGUCUUCUCCUCCUCCUCCUUCUCCUCCUCCUCCAGGAAGCCUUCCUGAACUUCUCUAACCUCGAAAUGCCAGUGCUGGGAUGUCCCACUCCUCCAUUUAGUACAGUUGGGUGGGAACGGAGAGGCCGAGGACAGUGUGGGGCCAGGCGGGACCCAACCAUGACCUCACACAGUGAGUCAGCAGAACGGCAGCCAGAGGCCUGUUUCUCCGAUUCUCAUACCUGCUGUCCUAGCCGGACUGUCCCCUUUCAGACCUCCUUCCUGUGCCUGGGGACUCUGUCCCACCGGACACCAUGGUGAUGAGCCUGAGGGGCCCUCGUCCUGCCCAAGAUUGGGGGUGGGGGGGGCAAGCGAGGAAAGUCCUGCCAUACACUUGCUGGCCACCCUGGGUCAGAGGCCUCUCUCGGGCCUCAGUUUCCUUGUCAUUGUAUUAUGGGCAUGACGUCACUGCCCAGGGUGGGAGAGGUGAGAGCCGCAGACACGUGGACGCGUGCUUUUCUGGGGGCCCGGAGGACGCCGGGCCGGCCCAGUGGCCGCUCCCUGGACACUUGCGUCCUGAGCAGGGCCAUGCUGAGUGCCCAAGAGGCCAACGGGGGAUUCCAGUGGGGGGCAGGGCUCCACACAGGUGGCACCACACCGAGAUGCCCACCGGGGGCUUCCUGGGAGGAUGGACUGGCUGGGCUGGCAGAGGAGGGGGCGGCUGUGGGAGGAGGGACAGCAAAGCAAAGGCUGGAGGCAGAGAGGUGCUGGCAGGCCCAGUGACAGGCUGGAGGAGGCCUCUGACACGCGGUCCCUCCUCGGCUCUCCCUGAAGUCUUCGCCGCCCCUGCCAGCCAAGACGGUUUGGCCAGGAUCGCGCUGAAUUGUUAAUCUGCCCCCUGGGACCAUAAACGGUUUUAAAGCUUUAUAAACGGCUUUACUUCCCUGUCCCCACCCUGGAGUUUUCCAGGGACAGGCGGAGGGACGGCCCGUCUGUGCACCCCCACCUCCACUCCCAGUCUGUGGAGAGCGCCACCCCCCUCCGGCGGGCACAGCAGGCGGGUGUGGGGAGCCGGCUGCUUUACGAGCCCCGGGCGUCUCCUGCCAGGGGUGGUGGCGGGGGCGGGGCGCAGGAAACACCUGGCCUCAGAGCCAGACGCCAGCCCUCCACCUGCCUCCCCCCCACGGAGCCCCCUCCCCCGGCACAAGACCCCGCGUGCCUGCCAUCUGGACGGCACGUCCUGCGCUUGGCUUCAGACGCUUCCAUUUCCCUGCUCCCCUCGAGCCCCGCGCGGCACAGGGCACCGGGCUGUGCCAAAGGAAGGCCUCUGUCCGCCGCGUUCACCUGAGGUGCCCGGUGCUCCUGGGGGCGCCAAGGAGAGGCCAAGCCCUGCGUCCUUGCACGCCGGCCGGGCCUCUGGCUCGUCUCGACCAGUGACUUCCAAGCCCGCCAGGCACCAGGAUGCAGGGGCGCCUGGCAAGCACGGCCUCGGCGGAUCGGCACGGGGGCCCUGGAAUCCGCUCGUUUAGUAAGCAGCCCUCGCGACCGAGCGUUGAUGGUGCCGCUCACUUCCAGAUGGGGAGACUGAGGCUGGGGGAGCCGGGCUUAGGCUCCUGCCGCCCCGCAGGCCUUUCCCCAUCCCGCCGUCUCGGCAAGGGCUUACGGAGAGCCGGCACGCCUUUUCCUCCACAAACACAUCUGUCUGGUUACAAAAGCGCUCCUGCUACCUAGAAGCCGGAGGGCCCCGUGGUCCGCGAGCGAGCGCGUCCGCGCAGUUCCUGUCUAGACCUCCUCCACAUUUGUUCCUAAUUUCACGCUCCGCGGGCUCCCAGAUUCCUGUGUUUGGUAAUAAAUAGACGGGGAAGUGCUCGGCAGCACUGUGGCUGGUCUCAGAGAUAUUCUCCAGAGCCCGGCUGGCUGGGCUGGGCUGGCGGCCUGGACGGGCAGUUCCCAGCGGCGCCUGGAGAUCUCCUCUCCAAGCUCCUCAGAAAUGCAGGCCCACCUGGUGCGGGGCCCCCGCGAGCCAGACCCGCGCCCACCGGCAGGGCAGGCCGGGGCCGGAGCGCGCCCGUGGCAGGGGGGCCUGGUGUUCAGGAAGCCGGGGAUGCCCUGGGCUGGCCUGCUUCGCGGCCUGGGCUCCGUGAGGGACCGCGGGACGAGCACAAGGCCCGCGCUAUCUUGCUGGCUUUCUUGGGGGCUCAUAGACUUGUAGCAGUUCUCCCCAGACCCCCGCCGAAGACCCCCACCCCGUCCCCCCGCCUGGGGCCAGCGCUGUGAGAGCAGGUGGUUCCCCGCUCCGUUCCCACCGCCCAGCCCAGCCCAGCCCGAUGCUCACAACAGACACUCGAUGCUCACAGGGACGGUGAGCUCUUGAAGAAUGAAUCGAAAUUUCCAGGACGGACCCAGCAGAGCCGGGAGCGCCCGUGAGAAGGGGGGUGGUGUGUCCCUCUCAUUUCGCCCCACGGCUCCCCCCCCCCCCCGGGGUGGCUGCCCCACCCGCACUCCCCAGGCCGUGGGGGAUGCAGGGAGCAGAUGCAUUUCUUUGCAAAAUCCCCCCACCCACACAGCCUAGGGGUAAACCGAGGCCGGAAGAGAAAAACAACGCACCGAGCCAGCAGAAAAGUCCAUCAGACGGACACCUUGUCUUUGUGCCCCCUCACGGCUGCAGAGCCGAGGCCGUGGACUACAGGGAGAGGAUUCAGGGCAGACCCUGGGCCCUGGGGGGCUGGGGGGCCUGGGCCACGGCCAGGAAACUGGAGGGAGCUGCCUCGCCCGACCUGGACUGGCCAGGGGGCUCGGCAUCCCCACUGCCUGGGGAAAGAGGGCACCCCCAGCUGGGUGGCCUUCCUGCCCCCUCGGGCACGGUCCCCAGGCACUUGCUGUCCCCUGCCUCAGGCACCUCUGGGAAGGCAGAGAGCCACGGGAGGUAGCCCUUCCUUCCCUCUGCCACAGAGCCAUGCCAGGGUCACCUGGGGUCCCCCCGGCCCUUCGGGGGCAGUGGGCAGCACAUCGGGCCAGUGGGCAGCACAUCGGGCCAGGCCAGGGGGCACCUACAAGGCAGGCUACCACACUGUCAUUCUUGCGGUUGGUCCUGGAGGCCCCGCCUCAGCACACCGUCCUGCUUCCAGAGGAGUGGCCAGUCGGGGUGCGCUGAGGCAUGCGGUCAAAUGAGGCCGGAUCCCCCGGCUCCAUGGGGACCAGGCUUGGUGGUAUGGAGGGCUGGGAGCGUGUGGCCGUGCCCUGUCUGUGCAGAUGGGUGGCUGUGCCCUCCAGACAAGGAGACCUACCCAGGGUGACCCUGGAUGCCUGCCACAGAAUGAGGGCUGAGCACAGGCCAGCGACCCUGACCUGCCCCCUCCGGCCCCAAGGUGGUGGGGGCGGUGGGGGAGGGGAGGAGGCGAGGCACCCCGUGUCUGAUGUUGUUGAGCUCAGCAGUGUCUGGCCCUGGGGCCCCAGCAGCCCCCAGACCUCUCCUGUCUGACGUCCUGUGAUCUGUCUGAAAGAUGUACAUGUGUCUGUGAGGACAGUUCACACCCGUGCGACUCCAACGCGACAGAGAAAUCCACCCUUUAGCAAAGAGGCCGCCCAGAGGUUCUUACCCUGCCCUCCCGCCCAUGCCGCCCCACUGGGGCUCCUGAACCUAAGUCUGGACGGGUCACUGCCUCCCUCAAACACCCUGGGUGGCUCCCCGGUACCUCACAUUAGUAAUAAGCACACUGUCCUGUCCUGAGCACCCCCUGUGCCCAGCAGGGAGUGACAGUCUCCACCAACAUCUCUAAUCCCUAGGAGAGUCUGAGCAGGUAUCAUCACCCCAUUUUACAGACAAGGAAAUGGAGCCAGAGAGCUGCAUGGAGGUCACAUGGUCCGGGGUGAGGGAGCUGGGGGUGAACUUGGGUGUGCCACCCCAAAGCUGGUGUCUUGUCUUUUCCCCCUUCUCCUGGCUCCCCCCUACACGGCUUGCCUAAAGAAGGGGGGCGGGGACAGGGGCGCUCUCUCCUCCUUGCCCACUGGACAGACGGACGAUAAGCCCCAUGAAGGCAGGAACCUGGUUCACCACGUUUUGUGGCCCUCCUGUCGCUAGGGGUCAGCAUAGUGCAAGGACACAGAAGGAGCUCUCAAACGGGGGGGGGGGGGGGGAUCCGAAACGAACUGGGGUCUAAUUGGUGAGCCCCCGCUGAACAGGCCCAGAGCUUGGGAAGGGAAGGGACGGGGCUUUGCCACUGUGGCUCUCACCUCCCGCGCCUGCCUGCCCCCCCCCCCCCCGCAGGGUGUCCUGGGCAAGCGGGGGAGGGCGCGGCAGGCACCGAGUCGCGGGCCAGGCCCGUGCGGGGUCCCCGUCGGGAGAAAGGCAGGCGAGGUGCGCCUUCAAGAGCUCUGUGAGGCUGGGGUGUCCCAAUCCGUGUCAGGAAAUGGGGGGGCGCAGCUCAACCUUGGUCCGCGCUGGCCUCUUCUCUCCCUUAAAAGUAACAAUGUGUAGACGCUGGGUCUGCAAAACCCUUUCUGUUGCUUGACUUAAAUUUUUUAUUUUUAUUUUCAGCUUCCUCUUCCAAGAACUGAGUGCAGCUGGCACCACGGGAGUUUCCGUUUAUUAAACACUGACUGUGUCCCCGCGCUGAGCCGAUGGCUGUGCCCUUGACAUGUCACUUAACCUCAUGGGUACACUCAGCCCAGGCCCCGGCAAGUCUGGACCACACGCCUCCCAGGUCCUCUGAAUAGAGUCCACACUCCACCGGACCAGCACCGACCACCCACGUCUGCUGCAGGAUGGGUACUGAGCCGUGAUGCGGAUGCCGGUCUCAGGUCUGUCCUUGUCCCGCGGUCCCUAGACUCAGGAUGCCCCUGGGACCACUGCCUGCUGCCUCUCAGGUGGCUAAGUCCUUCUGGUCCUUUGGGACGGGUCUCAGGUCCUGCCCCCUGCAGGGAGCCUUUGCUCUUUCUUCCGUGGGCCUGGCCCGUGUCCUCCAUACCCUGCAGCGUCACUGCGUGCUGCCUUCUCGCCGGCCUUCCCAGUCGACUGCGAGCCCCACGAGGGCUACAGCAUAGCCUCACCUUGAUGCACGGGCCCUGGAAAGCAGCAAGAGCUCUAUAUGUGCCUGUGGGUUAAAUCACCUGCCAAGGCAGAGCCCUUGGGAGCUGAACACGUGGGGAGGGAAGGGAGAGGGGAGACUUUGGAGCCGUAGAUGAGUUUGGGGGAAGAAGACCAAGCCAGCUGUCGAGGGGCUCAUUGGAAAGGGCAAGGGAAGGAGGGAGACUGAGGAGACCCGGACCACGUUUGCUUCUGCUCCUUCUUGCUCCGGUGGUGUGCCACGGGGAAAGCCCACUGCUCCUGGAGAGCCUCGGUUUACGCACCCGUGAAAGCGGGGCAGUGGUGACGCCCGCAUUCGUGGUGCUUGGGGAGAAUGCACGCAUCACCCCGUUUAAGCCUGAUCAUCAUCCUUGGGGUUGGAAUUAUUAACCCGUGUCACAGAUGAGAAAACCGGGGCUGGCGGAGGUGAUGUGACCUGCCCAAGGGCACACGGCCAGUGAGGGGCAGAACGGGGGGCCCGAUGAGGGGCCGGGGGGCUUUUACAGAAAUGCUGGCUGCCUCUGGCAUCUCACAGGAUGGGACAAGCACCCAGCCCAUCACCGACAGCCCGUUGUGUGCUAGAUCCCGCCCCCAGGGCCUGGGGAGGGGUUGGGGGGCGGUACUCAGCCAUCCGCGCCAUGCUCGGAUGCCCCCACUGCUCCAGGACCCCCAGGUGGGUGUCUCCACUUGGCAGGGAUGCAACUUGCCCAAGUGCAGAGAGCAGGGGCAGAUACCCGACGGCGGCGAGGCCCCGCUCCGCCGUCCAGACGAGGCGCCCACGUCAGCUGUUUCCCUCCUUGCAGCCGAUGUCCCUCCAGUCCUGCCCGUUAGCUCCUGAGGAGCUCAGUGGCCUCGAAUCGGCCGCCUCCGUCACGUCAUUGGAGCCACCAUGGCUGAUGACAUCUGUUCUCCCACGGAACCCUCACCGCAGCCCCUGACAGAUUCCCACCGCCCGUGCCCAGCUCUGAUGCCUCCUCCUCCAGGAAGCCUGGGCUCAUGCCGGUCGGCGCUGGUCUUUCCCUCCCAGCCCUGCUCAGCCUAGGAGUCAGGAAGACUUGGGUGUGAAUUCAAACUCUCCUCCCUACGGUCAGGGUGGCCACGGGCCCUGGUCCCCUCACCUUUAAAACAGGAUGUUAACGCCUGUCUCCAGCUCCCCUCCCUCCUCCAUCCUCUCCCCCUCCCUCCUUCCUUCCCUCCCUCUCUCCUCCUUGCCAUAAGCACCAUGAGCGCGGGCAGCAUGCCAAACACUGUGCUGUACAGAGGACACAGAAGUGAGUGGGGGUCGCCAUCCCUGCCUCCUCCUGGCCCUCAGGAAGCUGGACUGUUGGGCAGGCCAGACGUGCACCCUUGACCCAGAGCCUUAAAUGCUGCCCGUGGUCUGGAGUUGCUGGUGGCCUCCACGGAGCCCUCAUUGACCUCCUCUCCUUUGUAUUUCUGUCCAGAAGCCCGUGACUUCUCUCCUCUUGGGCUGUGGGCUCUGGGACCUGGCCCAUCUCAGUUCCCAGCCCAGGGUGCUCAGUGAGAGCUUCCAAAGAGAUAAGUGGGGACCUCGGGGGCGAGGUGGGGGCCGGGGGGCCGGGGGGCAUUUCUAAGAAUAUGCCAACAGGUGUCGUUUUGAUUAUUUUUUAACUACGCGAGCCCCUGCACGGAGACUGCCCCAUGUUCGCUUUCCUACCCGUGUCUCAUGUCUGCACGUUCGGAGCCAUGGUUCGCCUUUGCAGACGCCCCCUCCCUCCCCCCCCCCCCCCCCACUACAGCCAAGAAUCCCCCUGGAACUCAGGCUUGAGCGUGACUCUCCUGGUCUAGGCCCCAAACAUCUGCGUGUCCCUGGCCCUCCGAGCUGGUCUCUGAUUUUCUUCCUCAGCUCUGCAUUUUCUAUUGCCGCCAUGCUUCUUAAGCCAGUCUGCCUGAGAGGUUUGUUCCCUGGGCCUCCCGACCACAAAAUGCACGGUCUUGCCUCUGAGCCUUUGCUGAUGCCAUUCCAUGCACCUUGAACUCUGUUCCAGUUCUGCUUAUUGAAACCCCUGGCUGUUGGUCAGUAGGCUCCUUGAGUAAGCCCUUCCUGCCAUGGACACAGCUCCCCCUUCUGGGAUCUAGUGGCCCUCCCUGUCCCUACUCUGUGCUUGGCGUCGAUCAUUUAUCAACAAUUCAGCUGCAAAUAUUUAGUAAGCUCCUACUGCAUCCUGGUUUCUGCUCUGGGUCUCCGCCUUUGAAACAGCAAGUGCAAAGGCCCAGGGGCAGGCAGAGCAAGGUGGGCUCCAGGAGCUGGAGCACAGGAGCGGCAGGAGGAAGUGGCACAGGGUCGGCAGAGACCAGGCUGCACAGCAGGGUCCGUCUGCAUCUGAACAGCCUUCACGGAGCAUUCCUGCUUGUCUUCUCACAGCUUCAAUUUCAUGCCUCCUCCCUCCUGAAAUGCCUUCUAGAUUCGUCAUCCCUCACCUUUGGAUGUGCGUCAAGUCUACCUGAGGUUGAGAGAGAACCAUCGGAAAGGAUUCUAGAGAACGCUGCUCGGCGCUCCCGCGGGUCCAGGGGGAGGUCCUGCUCCCACCUGUCGUACCUCCCGGAGCACGGGCCACAGAGCUCAGAAGGGCUGGGACUGGGUGCUGCUCCGGUCCUGCCCGACAAGCCCAAAAGCUGGAGCUGAAUGAAUCGAAGCGUUUCCAAGUAACGGCCACAGCCCGGAACAAAGCUCACAAGUCCGCACAGGGGUGUGGCUCCCAACCAGCUGGGAAGUUACCUGGCCUGCCAAGAAGCCAACGAUACGAUCCAUAACGGGGAGAGAAGUCAGGCCGUCGAAACUAACCCAGAAAUGGCACAGAUGACAGAAUUAGGAGGCGAGGACAUCGAAAGCGUUACGACAGCUGUCGCCCCCGUGGUCAGAACGCGGGAGGAGAAACUGGGCACGUGAAGCAGAAACACAGACGACGUUAGAGAGAACCGAACCGAAUUUCUAGAGAUUAGAGAUUUCUCAGGUAAGAAAUACACCACGUGGGAGUAACAUCAGAGUCGAUGCUGCGGGAGAAGGGGGUUUGGGGGCCCAGGUAGAAACAGCCAAUGUAACAGCAAAGAGACAAACCCCCGACGGAGGAAGCGGGGCUCCGGGGGGAGGAUCGGAGCCCCCGAAGGAAAGCGGGCGCAGAGAGGUGACUCAUGAGAAGAAAUGUUGGUGGAAUCGUGGAUCCCAGACCCUCCACAAACCGGAAGCCCAAGAAACAUGAGGGAAGCCACGCCGAGGAACAUUCUAAUAAAAUAGUCCAAAACCAGUGAUACGGUGAACAUCGAAGACAGAGGAAAAGGCACGUGAGGAACAACGUAGGCACGCACAGACUGCUGUGGAAACGGUGAAUGCCAGGAGACAGCUGGCGGCAGGUUUACAGUAGGGGGAACACCAACCUAGAAUUUUCUAUCCAGCAAAACUCUUUCCGAAAUUAACACGAGAGUGGCAUUAGUAUCGUCUCCUCUUCUCGACGACAGAGUCCUGGAGGGCAAGAUCACAGCUUGGCUCCUCGCCAGGGCACGCUGCUUGGCUCUAUUGCUGGAAGAUUCUUCUCAUCGGGUUUGGGUCUCCAGCGGCCCCAUCGGUGCAUGGGUUGGGGAAUCGUGUGGGAAGGACUCUGUUCUAUGGGAGUUGGGUGGAAUCUGGCUCGUUUUGGGGGAGGCCCAGGUGGAGGGAGCAGCGGCCCUUCGGGGGCUCUCCCCACGGGGGACCCCAACUUCCUGGACCCGAGCCCUGCAGAGUGAGCUCAGGGGGUGGGAGGUGCGGGGCGCCUUCUGUUAUGACCGCCUUGCGCCUUGUAUUGACCUCGCCCAUCCCCACAGGAGUGUAAAACGCAAAAAAGAAAUCUGCUUGAUGUUUUAAAAAAACAACAAACCAAAUAUAUACAUAUGUUUUAGCUGUUCACAAGGUUA
Leopardus geoffroyi (Geoffroy's cat) is the source of this 10111-nucleotide long non-coding RNA. RefSeq lists it as uncharacterized. The record is from RefSeq and is a predicted model, not a curated record. The transcript is spliced from 2 exons. NCBI's taxonomy places the organism in Eukaryota, Metazoa, Chordata, Mammalia, Carnivora, Felidae.